RNAcentral lists this transfer RNA (73 nucleotides) under Camelus bactrianus (Bactrian camel). It matches the Rfam family "tRNA". From Rfam's summary of the family: Transfer RNA (tRNA) molecules are approximately 80 nucleotides in length. Their secondary structure includes four short double-helical elements and three loops (D, anti-codon, and T loops). Lineage: Eukaryota; Metazoa; Chordata; Mammalia; Artiodactyla; Camelidae. The record is from Rfam by way of RNAcentral. RNAcentral also lists the same sequence under 2 other names.
GAGGAUAUAGCUCAAGUGGUAGAGUGCAUGCUUAGCAUGCACAAGGUCCUGGGUUCAAUCCCCAGUACCUCCA